This 401-nucleotide ribosomal RNA is filed under the name uncultured bacterium. RNAcentral's name for it is "bacterial SSU rRNA". It matches the Rfam family "Bacterial small subunit ribosomal RNA", at positions 917 to 1322 of the family's 1533-position model. The record is from RNAcentral.
GGACCCGCACAAGCGGUGGAGCAUGUGGUUUAAUUCGAUGCAACGCGAAGAACCUUACCAGGGCUUGACAUACUGCGAAUCUUUUUGAAAGAAGAGAGUGCCUUCGGGAAUGCAGAUACAGGUGGUGCAUGGCUGUCGUCAGCUCGUGUCGUGAGAUGUUGGGUUAAGUCCCGCAACGAGCGCAACCCUUGUUUUUAGUUACCAACUUGUUGGGUUUUCUAGAAAGACUGCCGGUGACAAACCGGAGGAAGGUGAGGAUGACGUCAAGUCAGCAUGCCCCUUAUGUCCUGGGCUACACACGUGCUACAAUGGCUAGGACAAAGAGUUGCGAGUUCGCGAGAACCAGCUAAUCUCAUAAACCUAGCCUAAGUUCAGAUUGUAGGCUGCAACUCGCCUACAUG